Molecule: small RNA, 97 nt
Filed under: Clostridium grantii
Lineage: Bacteria; Bacillati; Bacillota; Clostridia; Eubacteriales; Clostridiaceae
Also listed under: 1 other name
Description: Guanidine-I sequence
Rfam family: Guanidine-I riboswitch aptamer
About the family: This family represents a conserved RNA structure found upstream of the ykkC and yxkD genes in Bacillus subtilis and related genes in other bacteria.
Source: RNAcentral
AAAAUAGUUUUCUAGGGUUCCACAGUUUGUAACUGGAUAGGUCCAAGAGAAAACACACAGUUCUCUGUGUACACGGAAGGAUAAAAGCCUGGGAGAU